This 450-nucleotide ribosomal RNA is filed under the name uncultured bacterium. RNAcentral's name for it is "bacterial SSU rRNA". It matches the Rfam family "Bacterial small subunit ribosomal RNA", at positions 354 to 796 of the family's 1533-position model. The record is from RNAcentral.
GUGGGGAAUUUUGGACAAUGGGCGAAAGCCUGAUCCAGCAAUGCCGCGUGCAGGAAGAAGGCCUUCGGGUUGUAAACUGCUUUUGUACGGAACGAAACGGUCCUGGCUAAUAUCCGGGGCUAAUGACGGUACCGUAAGAAUAAGCACCGGCUAACUACGUGCCAGCAGCCGCGGUAAUACGUAGGGUGCGAGCGUUAAUCGGAAUUACUGGGCGUAAAGCGUGCGCAGGCGGUUAUAUAAGACAGAUGUGAAAUCCCCGGGCUCAACCUGGGAAUUGCGCUUGUGACUGCAAGGCUGGAGUGCGGCAGAGGGGGAUGGAAUUCCGCGUGUAGCAGUGAAAUGCGUAGAUAUGCGGAGGAACACCGAUGGCGAAGGCAAUCCCCUGGGCCUGCACUGACGCUCAUGCACGAAAGCGUGGGGAGCAAACAGGAUUAGAUACCCUGGUAGUCC